Molecule: ribosomal RNA, 282 nt
Filed under: uncultured prokaryote
Description: partial 16S ribosomal RNA
Rfam family: Bacterial small subunit ribosomal RNA
Source: RNAcentral
GUGUCAGCCGCCGCGGUAAAACAUAGGGGGCAAGCGUUGUCCGGAAUCACUGGGCGUAAAGGGCGCGCAGGCGGUCUGUUAAGUCAGAUGUGAAAGGUUAGGGCUCAACCCUGAACGUGCAUCUGAUACUGGCAGACUUGAGUAUGGAAGAGGUAAGUGGAAUUCCUAGUGUAGCGGUGAAAUGCGUAGAUAUUAGGAGGAACACCAGUGGCGAAGGCGACUUACUGGGCCAUAACUGACGCUGAGGCGCGAAAGCGUGGGGAGCAAACAGGAUUAGAAACC